GUUGAGAGGUUUUUUUUUUUGAAACACAAAUGAUACUGUCUGAGUUGAGAGGUUGAAUGAUGAUUUCGGUGAUAUUUUUGCAAAUGGCAAACUUAACAUUUCUAAUGAAGUUAGUUAAUAACUAGGCCUUGACUACUAUUGGUCCGAGUAAGUUUUAGUGUAUUAGGAUAAUAACACCAAAUAUACAUAUAUGUAAUCUGAUUCCUAUAUAGUAG
This 215-nucleotide long non-coding RNA is filed under the name Brassica napus (rape). Its description in RNAcentral is "long non-coding RNA (BNAP_LNC025399)". Lineage: Eukaryota; Viridiplantae; Streptophyta; Magnoliopsida; Brassicales; Brassicaceae. The record is from RNAcentral.